RNAcentral lists this ribosomal RNA (272 nucleotides) under Coccomyces lauraceus. Its description in RNAcentral is "partial 18S ribosomal RNA". The stretch from base 26 to 239 matches the Rfam family "Group I catalytic intron". From Rfam's summary of the family: Group I catalytic introns are large self-splicing ribozymes. Lineage: Eukaryota; Fungi; Ascomycota; Leotiomycetes; Rhytismatales; Rhytismataceae. The record is from RNAcentral.
GAGGAAGUAAAAGUCGUAACAAGGUUUCCGUAGGUAGAGGUUUUGCCUACUAGAGCAGCUUAUGGCUGCUAGUCUCCCCCGGAGGCGACAUGCUCAACAUGCGGAAAAACCCCCCAGCGGGGGGAAACCCGCAGCCCACCUUCCCUUCCCGGAGGUCGGUUCAGAGACUCGAUGAGCAUGGGUACAGCGCAUUACAGGCUGUGCUUGAGAUAGAGCCCGUCUCCGCAGGCAAUUGCGGAGAGCAAACGGAACCUGCGGAAGGAUCAUUAAUG